This 2019-nucleotide long non-coding RNA is filed under the name Junco hyemalis (dark-eyed junco). RNAcentral's name for it is "lncRNA (ENSJHYG00000000912.1)". Lineage: Eukaryota; Metazoa; Chordata; Aves; Passeriformes; Passerellidae. The record is from RNAcentral.
CAUGCACCCAAAAUCCUUGCGAAAUAUGAUCAGGGUUCAUUUUGUGUUUGGCAGGUUUUGUGCCUGGAGCUGCACUUCCCGCCAUUGCAAGUCCUGCCCAGCUUGCACAGAACAGCUUCAGAAAUGACAAAGGCUGCAAGGUGCUCACACACUGUGAUGGCCAGCUGGACAGGAUUGAAAAGGACAGUGACAAGUUAUGCAAGCAAGCAGUGGGUAAUUUACUUUGUGAAGAUGUUUAAAACUCACCAUUGUUUGGGGCUCAUGAGUGGAAGUUUAUUAUGAUAAAUUUGUUGGAGGGUAAGGUCACAUUUUUGUUUCUUGGGUGAAAAGUGAGGCCAGACAAAUAGAGAAAUAGAGUUACAAGCACAUUUUGCAGUUGUCUGGAUCCUUUCAGGCGUGGGGUGCAAUGAGAGUGACCUGGUGGAUGUUGGCUGGAGGAGGGGUAUGAAAGGGGAAAUUAAUUACACCAGUAGGCCUGGAGUGAAUUUAAGCUGAAGAACUUUGCAGGGAGGACAGGAAUGAGAAAAAGGGAAGAAGAAAGAGAAAAAGAAAUUUCCUUGUUGGGAUGAAGGUGAUGAGACUGGAGGAACUGGUGUGAAGAUGUGUGUGAGUGGGUCAGACCUGAGCCAUGCAUGAGGGCAAGGGGGAGCUGCCUUGGGUACAGAACAGGUUAAACAAGGACAUAUGGCAAGGAGGUAGGAAAGGCAGAGGGAGCUGAAGGCUGGGAGUGUAGAAGGUGAGCCCAGUGUGACAAUGGGUGAGAUGGCAGGCAGGCCUUUCCUUUUCCAGAGGCAGUUGCUUAUGAAUACCCAUUAUGUCUGGUUUUAUCUCUCUGCAAGGAAGCUUUCCAAAAGUACGAAUAAUACCUUAUUAGGUAGAGGGUGAAGCCCCUCCUUUUUAUCCUGCUUUAAUUCAUGUUUCCUCUGCUUUGGUGGCUGCCUUGCAGAAGGUGCUGUUAGAAGUGCAAUUAUCAUUCUUCCUGGUUGGGCGGUAUGAAGGGCGUCGCUCUCUCAGCAUCUCCUGGAGGCUUAUUACUCAAGAGAGAGGAGCUGUGCACGAGAAGCCAAAUUAAACUGGGCAAAGAGGAGGCUGUUCCCACUGCAGGGAUGGAACAGAUUGUUUUGCUGAAGACCAGAGCCACAGGCAGUGGGCAGUGCUGGGGACAACCUACUCUCCCUUCUGGAGCUCCAACUGGAUCACGGGAACCAGGUUUUAAAGGCACUGUGCUGGCUGGGAUCUGCAUUCUGUCCCUGCUUCCACAAGGAAUAUGAGGAAGACUGAGCAGCACCAUCACAGCCUGUUUCUCUUCAGCAUAAGGGUGACCAGUGUCCCACCUUGCCUUGGAGGUCAAUGGAAGUUCACUUGUCGACUUCAUGCACAGGAUUUCAACCCGUGUCUGUGAUUAGUGGUGAAAUGAAAUUCACAGUUUGGAAUAAUUUAUCCAGCAUACCCAAUCAAACACAAACAUCCUUUGUGCUUGAAAAUGAAUCAGGGCUGGAGGCAGCUAGCCUGCUGCAGGGGUUUGUGAUAGAUUAAUGAGCUGAGAACAAGCUGCCACCUCCACCCCCAUCAUCAGUGACUUUCCAGUCUGAGGAGAGGGGCGCUGAGCUGGAGGUGAAGGAUAUACUCUCUGAUAAGUGUUGCAGUGGGAGGUGAGAAAUAAGAGCUUCAAGUGGAGGAGGAGGGGAGGAAAAAAGACUGUCCUCUGUUAAGCAGGGUACAGUUUAGACAGAGCAGCUGCCUGACAGGCUUGUGGCAGGAGGGGCAGGGCAGGAGCAGCCCUGUGCUUGCAGCACCUGUUAUUGAAUGCUACCUGCAGGUACCAGGGCAGCACAGACCGUGAUUCCCUGACUUCUGCCAGUCACGUGGGAAGGUCAGGGACCUGGGAGAGGAAAGGAGAUGAUGAAACACUGACAAGGUCUGCCCUCAGUGAGAUGCACUAACACCAAUGCAGAAGGGACCAUAUCCCAGAGGCUUCUUGGGCUUAAAGAUGAAAAUAAAAUCUGAAUUUGAUUAUCA